This 465-nucleotide ribosomal RNA is filed under the name uncultured bacterium. Its description in RNAcentral is "partial 16S ribosomal RNA". It matches the Rfam family "Bacterial small subunit ribosomal RNA", at positions 31 to 507 of the family's 1533-position model. The record is from RNAcentral.
GAACGCUGGCGGCGUGCUUAACACAUGCAAGUCGAACGGAAAGGCCCUGCUUUUGUGGGGUGCUCGAGUGGCGAACGGGUGAGUAACACGUGAGUAACCUGCCCUUGACUUUGGGAUAACUUCAGGAAACUGGGGCUAAUACCGGAUAGGAGCUCCUGCUGCAUGGUGGGGGUUGGAAAGUUUCGGCGGUUGGGGAUGGACUCGCGGCUUAUCAGCUUGUUGGUGGGGUAGUGGCUUACCAAGGCUUUGACGGGUAGCCGGCCUGAGAGGGUGACCGGCCACAUUGGGACUGAGAUACGGCCCAGACUCCUACGGGAGGCAGCAGUGGGGAAUAUUGCACAAUGGGCGGAAGCCUGAUGCAGCAACGCCGCGUGCGGGAUGACGGCCUUCGGGUUGUAAACCGCUUUCGCCUGUGACGAAGCGUGAGUGACGGUAAUGGGUAAAGAAGCACCGGCUAGCUACGUG